RNAcentral lists this long non-coding RNA (1099 nucleotides) under Homo sapiens (human). RNAcentral's name for it is "DPPA2 upstream binding RNA". The record is from RNAcentral. Lineage: Eukaryota; Metazoa; Chordata; Mammalia; Primates; Hominidae.
GCAGACAGCCCGGCGAACCGCGCAAUGCGCUUCUUCUGCCUGCAGCAGAGAAAAGGAAAGAAAACUCCGCAGGGGCUCCGUUGGCUUCUCCACGAGUGACAACCAUGUUUUCCCAGAUAGAAGACCGGAGCCCUGCUCCUUUGCGAUCCGCCGAGGGCUGCAGAGAGCAUCCUCAUCCAUUUGGGCACCCCUGCCCAGGAAGAGCCCGGCCAUCCCUUUCCGGACUGGAUCCUUAAGAGGUGAAUUUUCUUCCGUGGAUUCCGAUUUGCUCCGUCUGACCAGCCUAGGCAAUCCAGCAUCGCGUGGUACCAGUGCCGCUGGGCACACUGGCUUCACGCCGGCUCCGCCUCACCAGCAAGCGCAUUCCCAGGUGGUCAGGCUCAGGAUGGACCAUGAGCUUUCAAAAAGGAAAAAGGUGGAAAUCCUCAACUAUGCUGCCAUCUGAAUAAGUGUUUCUUUGUAGAUGCACAGAGUCAAGGAAAAUUACAUCCCUGCAUUAUCUUUUUCUGGAGGAAAUUCGCAUUUGAAUUGAUGGACUGAAUAAAGCAGAUUGCAGUCCCCAGUGUGGAUGGGCUUGAUCCAGUCUUCUAAGGACCCAAAUAAAAUAGGUGGAGGAAGCUUGAAUUUUCUGCCUGACUGUGGCGCUGGGACACCCAUCUUCUCCUGCCCUUGAACUGGGACUGACACCAUCAGUGCUCCUGGUUCUCAGACCUUCGGACAGCAGACUUGGGGCCUUCUCGGCCUCCAUUAUUGUAGGAGAAAAUGAGACACUGAGUGGGACUCAGGGAUUGCUCCAGGCCACACAGUCAGCAGGAGGCAAAGCCCAGAUUCAAAUGCAGAUUACUCAGCUCCACAAUCCACAUCCUCACAGGAGGCUGCACUCCUUGCCCAAGCGUCAGACAGGAGCAAAGAGAAAGAAGGCAACCAGCUGGCUACUUUCUUCCCUUCUUGGAUGCCUCCAACAGGGUGAGAAGGACUAAACAAAUGACCAAGUGUCAUCCCAUUUUGGACAUACUUAAAACACCCCAUGGAAUUUUUAUUCUGACUUUCUUCUGCCUGUGUGGCAUUUAUGUUUAAAUAAAAGAGAAUUCAACUCGUA